RNAcentral lists this unclassified non-coding RNA (210 nucleotides) under Eurotiomycetes sp. RNAcentral's name for it is "partial contains small subunit ribosomal RNA, internal transcribed spacer 1, and 5.8S ribosomal RNA". The stretch from base 1 to 46 matches the Rfam family "Eukaryotic small subunit ribosomal RNA", at positions 1786 to 1831 of the family's 1831-position model. The record is from RNAcentral. Lineage: Eukaryota; Fungi; Ascomycota; Eurotiomycetes.
AAGUCGUAACAAGGUUUCCGUAGGUGAACCUGCGGAAGGAUCAUUAAAGAAAAGGGAACCCUUCGGGGUUCAACCUUCAACCCUAUGUUUUAAUUACCUGUUUCUUUGGCGGGUUGCCCGUCAGAAGUUUUCUCAAACCCAUUAUAAACGUGUCAUCUGAAUGAAAAACUAAAUGAAUUAAAACUUUCAACAACGGAUCUCUUGGUUCUG